ACACGGGGGGGGCUAGCGUUGUUCGGAAUCACUGGGCGUAAAGGGUCCGUAGGCGGCCGCGUAAGUCGGAGGUGAAAGCCCUGGGCUUAACCCAGGAAUUGCCUUCGAAACUGUACGGCUAGAGUCCGGUAGAGGGAGACGGAAUUCCCGGUGUAGCGGUGAAAUGCGUAGAUAUCGGGAGGAACAUCUGUGGCGAAGGCGGUCUCCUGGGCCGGUACUGACGCUGAGGGACGAAAGCGUGGGGAGCAAACAGGAUUAGAUACCCCAGUAGUCC
Molecule: ribosomal RNA, 274 nt
Filed under: uncultured bacterium
Lineage: Bacteria
Description: partial 16S ribosomal RNA
Rfam family: Bacterial small subunit ribosomal RNA
Source: RNAcentral